GGAAGUGUGGCCGAGCGGUUGAAGACGCCGGUCUUGAAAACCGGCGACCCGAAAGGGUUCCAGAGUUCGAAUCUCUGCGCUUCCGCCA
This 88-nucleotide transfer RNA is filed under the name Escherichia coli. Its description in RNAcentral is "tRNA-Ser". It matches the Rfam family "tRNA". Rfam says of the family: Transfer RNA (tRNA) molecules are approximately 80 nucleotides in length. Their secondary structure includes four short double-helical elements and three loops (D, anti-codon, and T loops). Further hydrogen bonds mediate the characteristic L-shaped molecular structure. tRNAs have two regions of fundamental functional importance: the anti-codon, which is responsible for specific mRNA codon recognition, and the 3' end, to which the tRNAs corresponding amino acid is attached (by aminoacyl-tRNA synthetases). tRNAs cope with the degeneracy of the genetic code in two manners: having more than one tRNA (with a specific anti-codon) for a particular amino acid; and 'wobble' base-pairing, i.e. permitting non-standard base-pairing at the 3rd anti-codon position. Lineage: Bacteria; Pseudomonadati; Pseudomonadota; Gammaproteobacteria; Enterobacterales; Enterobacteriaceae. The record is from RNAcentral.